GAGUUUUAUUCAAUUAAGCCGCUAACUUAAUUCUUAGUGUAUAGCCAUUAAAAACUCU
This 58-nucleotide transfer RNA is filed under the name Pseudopotamorites peniculus. RNAcentral describes it as "tRNA-Ser". Lineage: Eukaryota; Metazoa; Arthropoda; Insecta; Trichoptera; Limnephilidae. The record is from RNAcentral.